RNAcentral lists this ribosomal RNA (464 nucleotides) under Vreelandella stevensii. Its description in RNAcentral is "partial 16S ribosomal RNA". It matches the Rfam family "Bacterial small subunit ribosomal RNA", at positions 338 to 795 of the family's 1533-position model. The record is from RNAcentral. Lineage: Bacteria; Pseudomonadati; Pseudomonadota; Gammaproteobacteria; Oceanospirillales; Halomonadaceae.
CCUACGGGGGGCAGCAGUGGGGAAUAUUGGACAAUGGGCGAAAGCCUGAUCCAGCCAUGCCGCGUGUGUGAAGAAGGCCUUCGGGUUGUAAAGCACUUUCAGUGGGGAAGAAAGCCUUGGGGCUAAUACCCUCGAGGAAGGACAUCACCACAGAAGAAGCACCGGCUAACUCCGUGCCAGCAGCCGCGGUAAUACGGAGGGUGCGAGCGUUAAUCGGAAUUACUGGGCGUAAAGCGCGCGUAGGCGGUCUGAUAAGCCGGUUGUGAAAGCCCCGGGCUCAACCUGGGAACGGCAUCCGGACCUGUCAGGCUAGAGUGCAGGAGAGGAAGGUAGAAUUCCCGGUGUAGCAGUGAAAUGCGUAGAGAUCGGGAGGAAUACCAGUGGCGAAGGCGGCCUUCUGGACUGACACUGACGCUGAGGUGCGAAAGCGUGGGUAGCAAACAGGAUUAGAUACCCGGGUAGUC